Long non-coding RNA from Bos taurus (domestic cattle), 359 nucleotides. Lineage: Eukaryota; Metazoa; Chordata; Mammalia; Artiodactyla; Bovidae. The record is from Ensembl.
CAGGAUUAAGUGGUGGUUAUUCGACCACUGGGGUCACCAAGGCAGAGCUCACCCUCUGGCCUCUCCUCGAUGCCUUCAUUGGGCUGGCUCUGGUGUACAGGGUAAGAUUCCGGUCCUGUGUGGUCCGUGUAAGCCCCACCUCUGUGCCGAGUGCGAUGUCUUCCGAGGAAUAUUGCAGCUGGCCUUCAUCCAGGCUUGGGCGUGAAGAUGGAAGUCAGAGUGCAGCAAGGCGGAGCUGGAGCAGAGGUCCUGGGCAGCAGGGAACGUGGGUGUGGCUCAAUCUUGGAGAGACGCCCUUUGGGCAGACAGGAAAGGAGAGACUGGGGGUCACCCCACAUGGUCCUGUGUUUUCCCCAAGA